GCGGGUCCUGUGGGGGAGAGAAAAGCACCCUGCGAGGUCUGGAAAGUGGACCAAACAAAACCCAGAGCCCCAGCCCUGGGCCUUCCUGCCGCCUCUUAAUUAAAAUCCUGCAGGAAUUUGGGGAAAAGGAGGAGAACAGGCACAAUAAAGGAGGCUGCAGGGGAUCCUAUCCCUGGUGUUGCUUGGCUUGAGGAGCUCAGCAAGGAGCCUGGUCCAGUGUCCUGUGGAGGUGAUGGAGCCAGUGCUGCUCAGCAAACCUGAGGCCGGGAGGUAAGACGUUUCCUACCCAAACAUACCAAAGACGGCACCAGUUCCUCCCAGCCCCCGCCAAGGUCCCUCCAAAAAGAGCAAGGGCAGCGUCACUGCCGUCCUUUUGAGCAGGGAUGAAUCAGCGGAGAGUGUAUAGCAGAAAGGGGCUGGUACUGCUGGAGUCUCUCUGCAGGCACCAACUACAUGAAUGCAUUCAUCACAUCCUGAGAACGCACCCCAGAUUUUUGUUUUUCAUCUAUUGUUAUUACAGGCUGGUUGGUCUUGAAAGGCAGAAAUCAGCCAUCUCUGAUCGAGCUUGUCUCACCUAGUCGGCAAUUCCCGGCUACCAGUGGGGGCUAUAAGGAGCUUUGCUGAUCCUCAGAGGUGCGAGCCCGGCAGAGCCCAUGUGGGAAGCAGUCAGGGUUCACGUCUGCUCCUUGCGUUAUUUCCCAUCUCAGCAAAGCUGUGGAACUGGCAGGUUUAUCACACAGGUGUUGCCAAAGGUCUCGUCUGAAACCGCAUCUCAGCAUAGGUGUGACUGGUGCCACUGGUGGAAAAGUGCCAGCUGGGUUGGAGUGUCCCAGGUGACUUCAGCUGUCUGGAAGGUGACAGAUGGCACGAUUUUCACUUGCUCUUUGAGGCUGUUUGGAGACGCUAAUCAUGGAAAUGGGGCUUUUCGUGUUUAUUUAGAGAAGGACCAUGCUUUAAGCAGUGCUGUGCUCCAGAUCGAGGAGGCCUUCACUGAGUUCAUCAGUCCAUCUCGCAAAGGCUGGUGAGAGACAGGAGAACUACGGAGCAUCCUCUGUGGCUGGUACUGCCGAGGUGCUGCCAGGGGAGCUGGAUGGGAACUUCUCUGCACGGCCUCCAGAAUGCCAGGGCCGGGUGACGGGGUUGCCGUGAUUGUGCCAUGAGUCUUGCAUUGGUUGCAUGUUUUUCUUGGAGUCAGUUCCUGAAAUCACACAAUUAGGUAGGAACGUGUUAUUUAAUUUUCAAGGAAGAAAGUCUGUUUCGGGAUCUCCCUGUCCCUGGACCUUCACAACUGAAGAGAAGUGAGAAGGUUGGAUUACUCAGCUAUUUUGAGCUGUUGGUGUUUUGCAGCCAGAAUCAUGCUUUUAAAAAUGGACAAUAGAAACCUUUCCCCAA
This is a long non-coding RNA of Columba livia (rock pigeon), 1392 nucleotides long. RefSeq lists it as uncharacterized. The record is from RefSeq and is a predicted model, not a curated record. Lineage: Eukaryota; Metazoa; Chordata; Aves; Columbiformes; Columbidae. The transcript has 3 exons.